This 483-nucleotide ribosomal RNA is filed under the name uncultured bacterium. RNAcentral's name for it is "bacterial SSU rRNA". It matches the Rfam family "Bacterial small subunit ribosomal RNA", at positions 26 to 507 of the family's 1533-position model. The record is from RNAcentral.
AGGACGAACGCUGGCGCGUGCCUAACACAUGCAAGUCGAACGGAGAACUUAUGGAAUGCGACUUCGGUCAAAUGAAAUUUGUUCUUAGUGGCGGACGGGUGAGUAACGCGUGAGCAACCUGCCUCUGUAUGAGGGAUAACGUUUGGAAACGGACGCUAAUACCUCAUGACACAACUGGGACGCAUGUUUUGGUUGUCAAAGAUUUAUUGUACAGAGAUGGGCUCGCGUCUGAUUAGGUAGUUGGUGAGGUAACGGCCCACCAAGCCGACGAUCAGUAGCCGGACUGAGAGGUUGAACGGCCACAUUGGAACUGAGAUACGGUCCAGACUCCUACGGGAGGCAGCAGUGGGGAAUAUUGGGCAAUGGGGGAAACCCUGACCCAGCAACGCCGCGUGGAGGAAGAAGGUUUUCGGAUCGUAAACUCCUGUCCUCAGGGAAGAGCAGAAGACGGUACCUGAGGAGGAAGCCCCGGCUAACUACGUG